AUGACUGCCAAUGACUAUUUCCAAAGCAUUCCUCUUGAGCAACAGGUCCAGCCAAAGGAGCUUCGCUUCCACUUGUACAUGUUCCAGCACUGGCGCGAAGGCCCUCAACAGAACCAAGGAGUCAUAACGGACAUUAAGCGCCCCAGGUAUUUUGGUCAUGGCGCCGUUAAUGACUGGAUCAUACGGGAUAGUCCUAACCUCCAAGCAAAUAUUGUUGCACGCGGUCAAGGCCUGCAUCUCGGGGCCGGUAGGGACGAAGAAAACUGGUUUACCUGUUUCAACAUAGUUUUUACCAACGCGAGGUUGAUGGGAUCCAGCCUUCAGGUCCUCGGAAAUUUCGCAGGAAAAUCUGGUCAAUUGGCGAUCGUUGGUGGGACUGGAGAGCUUGCCUUUGCACAUGGUGUUGCCACUGCAACAGUAAUCCAAGAGGGUGAUGGGGAUUCUAUCAGAGAGCUUCAAAUCCGUGCUAUGUGCCUCGCCUUCUUGAAACCAGUCCCUAUCUGUCACCAAGAUUGGACCAUGGGGUGGGAAUGGAGGAAAAGAAUUUAA
This 549-nucleotide ribosomal RNA is filed under the name Triticum aestivum (bread wheat). Its description in RNAcentral is "partial small subunit ribosomal RNA". Lineage: Eukaryota; Viridiplantae; Streptophyta; Magnoliopsida; Poales; Poaceae. The record is from RNAcentral.